Mirounga angustirostris (Northern elephant seal) is the source of this 1649-nucleotide long non-coding RNA. RefSeq lists it as uncharacterized. The record is from RefSeq and is a predicted model, not a curated record. NCBI's taxonomy places the organism in Eukaryota, Metazoa, Chordata, Mammalia, Carnivora, Phocidae. The transcript is spliced from 4 exons.
GGAGGGCCGUUGGCUGCUGCUGGUUGUAUGGUUGGUUAGAAUGGCGGCAGACCCGUACUCUUACUCUCUGCUGCGGGCCUUAAAGUUGUGUUAGUCUGUUGCUCCCAGCUGCGAACUCAGGAACCGGGGAACGUUGAACCGGGCGGGAGUUGGAGAAGCCGACUGAGAGUGAGGCGGGAGCGACGCUGAGAAGGGGCGGCGGCGGCUGGACCACGGUCUUAGUGCGGCGGAGCUCAUCCAUCCCGAAGCCGCGGCUCUUGGAGGGGACUCCGGUGCGCCUCAGCUCCUGGGUCUACCGUCCCGCGUCACCUACACGCGGGCCGAAGCAACUGUGCGCCCUGUCCUGCCCUCGCCCAAGUUGCCGGCCUCUUUCGGAGAACGGUGGCGCCCCGCGCUGACUUCCCCAAACUCACCUUUUUGGUGGCGGUGUUAGCGUAACCUUGUAAACCGAAUCUUCACAGAGCAAUAAACAGAUCUCUUUGACAAAUCUUUUUGUUGUGAACGUUGGGCCUUGAUAUAAAUGUCCAAUGACGGAUCAUUAAAAAUAGCGAGCACAGAGCGUCUCCCACUAGUACCCAAAGAGUGUAAAAUCGGACCAGUAGGUCUUGUGAAACACCAGUUGUAUCUGAAAGCAGUAUUUCUGAAAGUAUGGCUCCCAGAUCACCUGAUUGAGAAUCACCUUGAAUUCUGACUCUUGGACCCCACCCAGAGCCAUCCUAUUCCUGAGCCCGUUGAGCAAGCACUGAGGUGGCUCAUGUAAAAGACUAAUAUCCACAGGACAACGGAUUAUUAUUGUUCACCUGAUUAUAAAAUGCUUCCUCUGAAGAAAAUGGAAGAGACCAUGGCUUGGCUGACAAAUUAUCUCCAAGGAAAACUCAGAUCAUGAUCUCUCUCAGAGGUCAUGGGAUCAAGCCCCGCAUCGAGCCCCACUCUCAGCGGCAGAGUCUGCUUGAAGAUUUUCUCCCCCUGCCCCUCCCCCACUCGCUCUCUCUUGCCCUCUGUGUCUCUAACAUAAAUAAAUAUAUCUUAAAAAAAAAGAAGAAGAAGAGGAAGUCCCCCAACCCCCACCCCAUGUGAGGACACAGUGAGAAGGCUGCCAUCUGCAAGCCAGAAAGAGUUCUCACCAGAAACCAAAUUGGCCAGUACCUUGAUCUUAGACUUCCCAGGCUCCAGAACUGUGAGAAAUAAAUAUGUUAUUUAAGCCACCCAGUUAAUGGCAUUUUUGUUACGGCAGCCCAACCUAUGAAGGCCUUUUGAUAGCAUUUAUAUAAGACAUAAAUAUUCCCCAAAUUGUGGCCUGUUCUGAAAGGUCCAUCCACGUACCUCUCCCCCUAAACUUCCUUGCGCUAAUCCUGUAAUUUUGCUCAGGGACUUGGAAUCCAGCCAAAUCCUUAGUUAGCCACUUUCAAAGUACUUCUCUUUCCUUGGAGCACAAUAACCCUGAUUAGAAGGUUAGGAGGAGAGUUCUAGUACGUAUUUGUAAUGUUAUAAAGUGUACUUCCUCAAAGAUACCCAGUCUCCUCUUCAUUCAAAGGGAUUUGGGAAUUGAUUGCUGGGCAGCCCAGGCGUUGUCAGGCCUACACUGCAGGAGGGAGAGGAAGAGGGGAAAAAGAGACGAGAAGGGAUAGGAAGGGGAGGAGAAGUGAGGU